UACGAAGGGGGCUAGCGUUGUUCGGAAUCACUGGGCGUAAAGCGCACGCAGGCGGAUCGAUAAGUCGGGGGUGAAAGCCCGGGGCUCAACCUCGGAAUUGCCUUCGAUACUGUCGGUCUCGAGUCCGGGAGAGGUGAGUGGAAUUCCUAGUGUAGAGGUGAAAUUCGUAGAUAUUAGGAAGAACACCAGUGGCGAAGGCGGCUCACGGGACCGGUACUGACGUUCAGGUGCGAAAGCGUGGGGAGCAAACAGG
RNAcentral lists this ribosomal RNA (253 nucleotides) under uncultured bacterium. RNAcentral's name for it is "partial 16S ribosomal RNA". It matches the Rfam family "Bacterial small subunit ribosomal RNA", at positions 524 to 776 of the family's 1533-position model. The record is from RNAcentral.